Columba livia (rock pigeon) is the source of this 3787-nucleotide long non-coding RNA. RefSeq lists it as uncharacterized. The record is from RefSeq and is a predicted model, not a curated record. The transcript has 3 exons. Lineage: Eukaryota; Metazoa; Chordata; Aves; Columbiformes; Columbidae.
GGGCUCAAACCUGUUGCAGAACCAGCUGCAGAGAUGAGAGGAUUUCUGCAGGUAGGGAGCAGCUAUGGAAUGUGGAGGCCAAGCCCUCACACAUUGGUCCAGGUGCUGCUGUUUUGUAUAAAUAAGGGCAGAUGGGAAGUAAUGCAGCAGUGGGGCAUAAUAAAUUUAUUGCCUCAGGGCUGUGGCCAUGCAUGUUACCUCCCUGUCCUGUGGAGCAGCCCCUCACAGCAGUGACAGCCCUGGGUGGGUGGGCAGGAGGGUCAGCCCAAGAGCUACCCUGCUUUGGAUUUGGAGUGCGCUGCCAUCCGCUGCAGUCGUUCACGGGAUGUUGCACCCCGGGGGAUUAGAAAAGCCAUUCUAGGUAACAGCAGCCCUGAAGGUUUUACACCAGCAGCCUGGCUCCAGCCAACACAGAAAGAUAAAGGGGAGAGAAAGGGGUCACAUCAUGAAGGGCAGCUAGAAGAGUAUGGGAAAUGCAUAGCUCUGGUGAGUCAAGCUGAAGAUACUUCGGGUUGAAUUUUCAAGCCUCCUUUCUGAAGCUGUGAAUGCAAGCUGCAGGCAGGCAAGUAUAGGCCAGAGACAACUCACAGAAAUGCUGACUUGCUCAUGAAAAUGCAGAUUUUACAGUUGUGUGUGUAAGAACAUUCACAUAGCAAGUAAGAAGCUGUGAACUGUUUCCCUUGAUGCAGACUGAGCUUUCCAUCUUCGGUGCAGGCUCAGUUUUAAGGGAAAGUAAACUAAUUCCUGAUUCUGAAUGAGAAUCAGUUGUCCGUUUGCAUCGAGUCUUUGCAUUCUGUUUUCAGCCGUACAUUUAUAAGAUAUCCAGAGGUGCAGGAACUGAAACUGCAGAAAAUAUUUGUGGGAUUCCACAGAGACGGAAGCUGCCACUGGUUUGCACGUGUGAAUUUUGCCAGUGCAUUCUGGUGGCUUAGAAUAAAAGUCUGGUGCUUGCUCAUAAUGAAAGUUGAACCUAAAACUGGCCAUAUUCAAAUUCCCAGUGCCCAACAAACUGGAGUCUGGGGGCUUAAGGCAGAAGAGAGGGACAACACCAGGCAAAGGUGUUGUUAUAUUUAUUUUAGUGAUUAGAGUUGGGUGAAAAUGAUUAGCUGAAAGGGUUCUGAGUAAACCAAUUUAAAAUGUAAUUAUGAAGGGCUCAAGAUAGUGUGUGUGUGUGUGUAAUUAUGUUUCUUGCCCAUGUGCACACUGUACUCAGUGAUUUUGUUCUGCAGCGAGUGGAAGGGGGAGGCAGGGGUGUGCAGGGGAGUAGCUGCACAGGUAGCAGCCGCUGGUGAUGGGCUGCUUGUGCUGGGUUCACCCUGUGAUCUGAGGUGUGCUUUUAGCUGCUCCUGAGCUAGCGCUAGGCUGGGUAUCAAACCUGGUGUAGCCAUAGCAAUACGUAGUUGUGUUUCAGCCGCUCAGAGCUGGGGACAAACAGCUGGGCAGGCAAUGGCAGUGAGCUUGUGCUGCUCUCCUGGGAUGCUCCCAGGCUAUGACACAGCGAGCUGGGACAAAACCAGCUCAGGGCUGCCCAUACAAGCUGUGGCGUGGCUUGGGACGAGAUCACUGACGUUCUGGCUAGCAGCAUUUCUAGGCUGUCUGUAUCGCCCUUGUGACCAGCAGCGAGGAGUGAGCCGCAUCUGAUCAGCAAGUUGUCACAGACCAGAUUGCAUCCACACUGUUGGGAGUGAAGUCACUGUGGAGUGGGCUCGCAGCAUCGAAACCCUGCGCUCCCAAGUGAGCUGCAUCCGCAGGGAGUAGGUGUGUGAGCAGGGGGACUGCCCCUCCAACUAUGCUCCGCUGUCCUGCCAGAUGCCAGCCUGGGGCUGGAGCCUGGGCUGAGCAGCCCAGCGCAGCGUUGAGACUGCACACAUCUAGGAGGACAAGCCACAUGGGCCAUGUGGAGACACCUUUUGGGGCUGUUGCAUCUGGGCUUUCAUCCAGCUGGUUUUUCUUCUGUAUUCUCAUAUUACCGAAGGCACAAAAGGUCAGGAAAUAUUCCUAGCAUCCCUCUCAUGUUAAGCAGGGAAGACAGGGAGAGAAAGGAGAGGAGAAGUUGCCAGUGGAAGGUGACAGGGAAGUCAUUAAGAGGGUGAAGUCAGGAGUGCCAAAAUACAAUUUAUCAUCAGUGGUGAGCAGUGAGCAUUUGUGGGACAUGGUACCAAAUGAACAUGUCUGAGUUAGGUAGUGAGCUGUUCACAGAGGCACAUUUAGGAUAGAAAGUGAAAGGACACACUCCCGCUGACUCAGGCACUUGUCUAUAACGUGAGAGUGAUCCCUUUAGUGAGAGCUGCAGCCGGAGCGGCAGCUGCUGCGCUGCACGGGACUCCUGCCUUCAUCUGACACGGGGACGGAGGGCAGGAAGGAGCCUCCUGGGACAGCCUGCUCCAUCGCUGCUAUCGCGCCCUGUAAUUCUUCAUCAAGCACAAUCUUAAAAAAGCAGUGUCGUGCCCAUGUUGUUUCGUCGUUUCCUUAUGUUCUCUGUAUGUCUGCUUUCUGUUACUGGUCUUAAUUGGGUUGUUAGCUGCUCGAGGCAGCAGUGCCCUUCCUGUCCUCUCAUCGUUUGCUGCAUUGGGCCAAUAUCACACAGACUAUCGCGUUGGCACUUCAGACACAUCCACUGGCAUUUUUUGGACAUGGGCUGCAAGACUGAGAUGUUCCAUUGGGACAGGCACAUUUUCACAGCAGGAAACCCAUGUUUCUGUUUUGUCCUUUGAUCAGUAGGUGCUGGUGUGUGUCUGAGGUUCCUGGUGAUUUUUUUUCAGCACAAACAACUAAUCCUUUUCUUACUUAAUCAUUCAGUGGGCACCAAUGUGUGCCUCUGAGUAACAGCCUAAAAAUCAGAACUUCUAGCCAAAUCUUGCAUUUUGCCAAACCCACAAAUCAAACUUUGAAAAAUUGGUACAAGAAGAAAUAAAGCUUCCCAAUAAAGAGAAAGGAAUAUUUCAGCUGCUGUCAUCUUAACUCUUAAUACCUUCUUGCAGGAAAGUACUAUUUUUGGAAGAUGGCAAGGGAAAUGAAAAGGGGUAGCAAUGCUUACAGCUGAUAACACUGACCUGUUUUCCUGGCAUUCCUCCAAAUGCAAGGCCAGCUUUGCUUGAAAUGUAGGUGGUUCAUCAGUUGAAUUGCAAGCAGAUAGUGUGGUGCAGAAGCACAGUCAUAGACACGUUAUUAUUUCAAUAACCUGAGUUUUAACUCUUCCCCUUUGAAAACUAAUGAAGCAAAUAAUGUUAUGACACAGAUGUAGGCAGUGAAAAUGUGUCAGAGAAAGGCAAUUAACCUCUGUACUAAUAAAAUCUGUCAAAUUAGUAAAAUAUUUUUUAUGUAUUAUAAUAGCUACUAAGAAAUAUAUAGGCCAUGAGUAUUCAAUGCUGCAAGCCUUGUGGAAUCAUUUAUACCUUUGAAAAGUAGAUGUAAAACUUCAUCAAGGAGAAGCAGGAGGUUUUAAUAUCUUCUUUGCGCAGGUGUAAAUGAGUCAAAUGUCACAGGGUGACUUUUGCUGGGGUGGGUUGUGGAUUUCUCGGAUCUCAGUGGCCUCCUGCCCCUCCUGCUACAGCAAGGGUUGGGCUUUUGUUUCCACAUACAAGCAUCCUUUAGUCACUUACCUGUUACGUUAUCCAUUCUCUGCCAGAUGGCCAUGGGGCAUUCUGAGCUGAAACACAAUUAAAAAACAAAGCAAAAUGGAUUAUCUAAUCCAGCUACCUGGCUGGAGAAAUGGGAUUAGAUGAGAUGGUUGCCUGGAGCAGGAGAAGGUUCCCUCCAGCCCUUGUUCUUUGUCUCUGCCUCAGCA